GCGGGAAUGGCGGAAUUGGCAGACGCACUUGAUUUAGGCUCAAGAUAUUGAGGGUUCGACUCCCUUUUUCCGUACAA
Molecule: transfer RNA, 77 nt
Filed under: Chryseobacterium sp. 8AT
Lineage: Bacteria; Pseudomonadati; Bacteroidota; Flavobacteriia; Flavobacteriales; Weeksellaceae
Description: tRNA-Leu
Rfam family: tRNA
About the family: Transfer RNA (tRNA) molecules are approximately 80 nucleotides in length. Their secondary structure includes four short double-helical elements and three loops (D, anti-codon, and T loops).
Source: RNAcentral